Molecule: ribosomal RNA, 256 nt
Filed under: uncultured bacterium
Lineage: Bacteria
Description: partial 16S ribosomal RNA
Rfam family: Bacterial small subunit ribosomal RNA
Source: RNAcentral
GACAUAGGUGGCGAACGUUAUCCGGAAUUAUUGGGCGUAAAGGGUGCGUAGGCGGUUUAGCAAGUUAGCAGUGGGAAAUCGAGGCUCAACCUUGUGGAAACUGGUAAUACUGCUAAACUCGAGUGCAGGAGAGGUUAACGGAACUCAAUGUGGAGCGGUAAAAUGCGUAGAUAUAUUGAAGAACACCAAUAACGGCGAAGGCAGUUAACCAUUCUGUUACUGACGUUGAGGCACGAAAGCGUGGGGAGCAAAAAGG